UACCAGCACCCCGAGUGGUCGGGACGAUUAUUGGGCCUAAAGCAUCCGUAGCCGGUCCUGCAAGUCUUCCGUUAAAUCCAGCUGCUCAACAGAUGGGCUGCGGGAGAUACUACAGGGCUAGGAGGCGGGAGAGGCAAGCGGUACUUUAUGGGUAGGGGUAAAAUCCGCUGAUCCAUAGAAGACCACCAGUGGCGAAGGCGGCUUGCCAGAACGCGCUCGACGGUGAGGGAUGAAAGCUGGGGGGAGCAAACCGG
Molecule: ribosomal RNA, 254 nt
Filed under: uncultured bacterium
Lineage: Bacteria
Description: partial 16S ribosomal RNA
Rfam family: Archaeal small subunit ribosomal RNA
Source: RNAcentral